CUCCUACGGGAGGCAGCAGUGGGGAAUCUUGGACAAUGGGCGCAAGCCUGAUCCAGCCAUGCCGCGUGAGUGAUGAAGGCCUUAGGGUCGUAAAGCUCUUUCGCCAGGGAUGAUAAUGACAGUACCUGGUAAAGAAACCCCGGCUAACUCCGUGCCAGCAGCCGCGGUAAUACGGAGGGGGUUAGCGUUGUUCGGAAUUACUGGGCGUAAAGCGUACGUAGGCGGAUCAGAAAGUUAGGGGUGAAAUCCCGGGGCUCAACCCCGGAACUGCCUCUAAAACUCCUGGUCUUGAGUUCGAGAGAGGUAAGUGGAAUUCCGAGUGUAGAGGUGAAAUUCGUAGAUAUUCGGAGGAACACCAGUGGCGAAGGCGGCUUACUGGCUCGAUACUGACGCUGAGGUACGAAAGUGUGGGGAGCAAACAGGAUUAGAUACCCUGGUAGUCCACACCGUAAACGAUGAAUGCCAGUCGUCGGGUAGCAUGCUAUUCGGUGACACACCUAACGGAUUAAGCAUUCCGCCUGGGGAGUACGGUCGCAAGAUUAAAACUCAAAGGAAUUGACGG
RNAcentral lists this ribosomal RNA (562 nucleotides) under uncultured bacterium. RNAcentral describes it as "bacterial SSU rRNA". It matches the Rfam family "Bacterial small subunit ribosomal RNA", at positions 336 to 916 of the family's 1533-position model. The record is from RNAcentral.